This 490-nucleotide ribosomal RNA is filed under the name uncultured bacterium. Its description in RNAcentral is "partial 16S ribosomal RNA". It matches the Rfam family "Bacterial small subunit ribosomal RNA", at positions 30 to 507 of the family's 1533-position model. The record is from RNAcentral.
AUUGAACGCUGGCGGCAGGCCUAACACAUGCAAGUCGAACGGUAACAGGAAGCAGCUUGCUGCUUCGCUGACGAGUGGCGGACGGGUGAGUAAUGUCUGGGAAACUGCCUGAUGGAGGGGGAUAACUACUGGAAACGGUAGCUAAUACCGCAUAACGUCGCAAGACCAAAGAGGGGGACCUUAGGGCCUCUUGCCAUCGGCUGUGCCCAGAUGGGAUUAGCUAGUAGGUGGGGUAACGGCUCACCUAGGCGACGAUCCCCAGCUGGUCUGAGAGGCUGACCAGCCACACUGGAACUGAGACACGGGCCAGACUCCUACGGGAGGCAGCAGUGGGGAAUAUUGCACAAUGGGCGAAAGACUGAUGCAGACAUGACGCGUGUAUGAAGAAGGCCUUCGGGUUGUAAAGUACUUUCAGCGGGGAGGAAGGGAGUAAAGUUAAUACCUUUGCUCAUUGACGUUACCCGCAGAAGAAGCACCGGCUAACUACGUG